AUUCAACUGACGAGUUCAAAACGGGAUGAAACGUGUGUCCUAGAU
RNAcentral lists this non-coding RNA (45 nucleotides) under Schistosoma margrebowiei. Lineage: Eukaryota; Metazoa; Platyhelminthes; Trematoda; Strigeidida; Schistosomatidae. The record is from RNAcentral.